Molecule: long non-coding RNA, 250 nt
Organism: Perognathus longimembris pacificus (Pacific pocket mouse)
Lineage: Eukaryota; Metazoa; Chordata; Mammalia; Rodentia; Heteromyidae
Exons: 3
Source: RefSeq, a predicted model, not a curated record
UUUGUCUUAAAUUGUCAUUUUAUUGGAAGAUGGUAAAAUUAGUUACCAAAUGAAACUGUAGCUUGGUAAUAAUCCUAAAUUACACAACAAAUUUUAAUGAAAGCUUGUUCAAAAGUGAUCAAUCAAAUAACUCUAAAGGCAGAGUAAGAAUGAGAAACUUGACUGGCCAACAGAUUCAGUUCACUAAAUGAAACCUGAACUUUUCUUUUUAAGAAAGGUAAACUGAUUUCAACAGCAGGACAGAGAGAAG